ACUUCUGCUUCUCAGAGUUUCUCUCAUGUCUGCCGUUUUCUAAAAGUAACCAGCCCAAAAUAAUCCUCAUGCCAAAGAGACAUAUCUUGGGGUGACCAAUUCCAGUCCCCAACAAUCGUAAAGCUACUUGAGGUGCUGUUCGAGGGGUGGGCACAAGACCAGCCCUUGCAGCCAGAGCAGCCAGCUCUUAUCUCUUAUAAACCGGACCUCCAUGGCAAGAUUUCAUUUGUGCUUUAAAAGGCAGAGAGUCAGAGCGCCCGCUGGCAUCUGAGAUGCCCUCCAGUCUGGGGCAACAUGCAGAUUCUUAGACUACAUUGAAGCGAAGUAUGUGUAGUUGCUGCCACUGUCCCAUUAAAAUGUAGGUAUUUUGUGAAUUGCUUUACUUUCACACGCACAAGAGGAAGGAUGGACAAAAUCCACACAAUCACUCUUUUCUUUGAGGCUGAAAAGAAAGAUGGUUAUACAAUUUGAUGGUUAUACUUCCCAGAGGCUGUCUCGAUCUAGUCUCAGCAUGGAAUCUAUUUAUUCUAGCAAAGCAAAGAUUUGUCGAUAAAUUAAAAAUGAAAACCUGAGGGGGAAAACCAAGUAUUCACUUCCGGGAAUCUAAGACCUUCCUAGUAUAAAGCAGCAGGACCUGCCUAACAAUGGAUGUGUUUUUCAUGUAAAAAUUUUGCCUUUAGUAAUCGAUGCUGCCCUCAGCACCGUUGCAGACUGGAUGACACAGAGCUUAUACUGGUCGGGGCAUUUCUGUAUCAAAAUGUCCUAUGUAGGGGCCAGCCUGGUGGCAGAUUUGCUGUCAACCAAAAGAAGCUUAAACUUUGGGUCCCCUUACUUGCAUGCCCCUCAUCCCAAGGCCCCUACCUAAUUUUGUACCUUUUUUUAAAGAAGUCACUCUAACUGUAUACAUUUUAGGCCCCCUAAACCCGGACCUGCCCUUGCUCUUCCCUUCCUCCCUCCCUCUCCUGAUUGGAUUCAUUUGGUUUAUCGGGAUUGGUCUUCCAAGUCAAGCUGUCCCCUCCUCCCUGGACAGACACACGCACACACAUGCACGCACGCCCCACCUCAGCGACCUGUGUUCACCUCCAGCGCAGCACUGUGACAAAGACUCUCCUUGAGCAAACUUCAGCCAGACUCCUCUGAGCCCUCUUUUCACCUAGGCCUCAACCUUGGUCUGUAAAAACUACAGACUCUCAACACUAAUGAUUUUGUCCACUCUAUCCCCCACCAUUAAAAGACUUGAACAAACACUAACAUAGUUUGAACAGCUCAAGGCCACAUCCCUAGGAUGACCCCAGCCCCCUGAAAGUGGCUGUCUGAGAAAGCUCAAGGCUGCCGAAAGAAGUUACAGCUUGUUCUAACCAACACCUGACAAUAGGUCCCGACCACCCUUCCUUAGAGCAGUUACUAAAAAGGGCUUACGGUUUUGAAUCCUUCCUCUGUCCCUCUGAGAUGUCUAUAUCUAUAUCUAUCCAGAUCUCCCAUAACUCAAGACCUGAAAGACAUUCCUUUAAAAUGUAACCAUCAGGAAGGACAGGGCCCCUGUCUCCCAGUCUCUGUGGGAGGAUAGAAUCCUAACUUCAAUGACUGCCAGCCAGCAGACACAGCUGGCCUAAUCAGUAUUUACACUGACCAACUCUUUGUAAUUUCUCACUUUCCUGAUUCUGCUGAGCCCCCUCUCACCCCCAUCUCUACUCCCUUUGUCUCUCUGUAAAACACCCAGUCACGUCUGUACAAAUCACAGUUGAGUUAAGCUCACACUGGACCCUAUUACUGAUUAAAAUCGUCCUUACCACCUUAAUGUCCAGCUUUGUCUAUCUUUGACAACUGAGCACCUGGAACCAUAAUACCUACCUCCUUGUCUGUCUCACUGGUCUCUCUGAAGGCAGAGACUGUGUCUUUAACCUCUGAUUCCUUCCACCUACUCAGGGCCUGGGUGUGCAGCAAAAACCCAGCAAAUGUUUGAUGAAUUAGUGAGUCAGAGGAGACCCAGGAAUGUGGCCUGUGCAAGUAACCACGUGAGGCAGCAGAGUUGUGAAAACAAAGGAGGAGGCUCUUGGAAAACCUUGGGGUUUCCAGGACCAACCAGAGAAAGCCAAAUAUGUACCCCUAACCAAUCACAUAGGAUGCCCCACUCCUGGUUAGCCUGCCAACGGCUGCCCCGUGCCGACAGUCUCCAACUGGGGCACAUCCGGAGACCUGAAGCCUCCCCUUUUUCGCCAGAGAGCUUUCCCACUCCCCCGCCUGCCUCAGUCUCUGCCGAAUGUGAGUGAUGGUGGCUGACUCCCUCCCUAUAGCAAGCUCCAAAUAAAAAACCUUUGCUCGUUA
This is a non-coding RNA of Equus caballus (horse), 2325 nucleotides long. Lineage: Eukaryota; Metazoa; Chordata; Mammalia; Perissodactyla; Equidae. The record is from RefSeq and is a predicted model, not a curated record.